GACGAACGCUGGCGGCGUGCUUAACACAUGCAAGUCGAACGAAGGGCGACGGAAGCUUGCUUCUAUCAAUCUUAGUGGCGAACGGGUGAGUAACGCGUAAUCAACCUGCCCUUCAGAGGGGGACAACAGUUGGAAACGACUGCUAAUACCGCAUACGAUCUAACCUCGGCAUCGAGGAUAGAUGAAAGGUGGCCUCUACAUGUAAGCUAUCACUGAAGGAGGGGAUUGCGUCUGAUUAGCUAGUUGGAGGGGUAACGGCCCACCAAGGCGAUGAUCAGUAGCCGGUCUGAGAGGAUGAACGGCCACAUUGGGACUGAGACACGGCCCAGACUCCUACGGGAGGCAGCAGUGGGGAAUCUGCCGCAAUGGACGAAAGUCUGACGGAGCAACGCCGCGUGAGUGAUGACGGCCUUCGGGUUGUAAAGCGCUGUUAAUCGGGACGAAAGGCCUUCUUGCGAAUAGUGAGAAGGAUUGACGGUACCGGAAUAGAAAGCCACGGCUAACUACG
This 508-nucleotide ribosomal RNA is filed under the name uncultured bacterium. RNAcentral describes it as "partial 16S ribosomal RNA". It matches the Rfam family "Bacterial small subunit ribosomal RNA", at positions 28 to 505 of the family's 1533-position model. The record is from RNAcentral.